RNAcentral lists this ribosomal RNA (305 nucleotides) under uncultured bacterium. RNAcentral describes it as "bacterial SSU rRNA". It matches the Rfam family "Bacterial small subunit ribosomal RNA", at positions 335 to 655 of the family's 1533-position model. The record is from RNAcentral.
UGCCUACGGGGGGCAGCAGUGGGGGAUAUUGGACAAUGGGGGGAACCCUGAUCCAGCGACGCCGCGUGAGUGAAGAAGUAUUUCGGUAUGUAAAGCUCUGUCAGCAGGGAAGAAAGAAAUGACGGUACCUGACCAAGAAGCCCCGGCUAACUACGUGCCAGCAGCCGCGGUAAUACGUAGGGAGCAAGCGUUAUCCGGAAUUAUUGGGUGUAAAGGGUGCGUAGACGGGAUGUCAAGUUAGUUGUGAAAUACCUCGGCUCAACUGAGGAACUGCAACUAAAACUAACAUUCUUGAGUGCAGGAGA